CUGUUGACAGAGGUGGGUGGGAGACGGUGUGUGAUUGGCUACUAUACUGUUGACAGAGGUGGGUGGGAGACGGUGUGUGAUUGGCUACUAUACUGUUGACAGAGGUGGGUGGGAGACGGUGUGUGAUUGGCUACUAUACUGUUGACAGAGGUGGGUGGGAGACGGUGUGUGAUUGGCUACUAUACUGUUGACAGAGGUGGGUGGGAGACGGUGUGUGAUUGGCUACUAUACUGUUGACAGAGGUGGGUGGGAGACGGUGUGUGAUUGGCUACUAUACUGUUGACAGAGGUGGGUGGGAGACGGUGUGUGAUUGGCUACUAUACUGUUGACAGAGGUGGGUGGGAGACGGUGUGUGAUUGGCUACUAUACUGUUGACAGAGGUGGGUGGGAGACGGUGUGUGAUUGGCUACUAUACUGUUGACAGAGGUGGGUGGGAGACGGUGUGUGAUUGGCUACUAUACUGUUGACAGAGGUGGGUGGGAGACGGUGUGUGAUUGGCUACUAUACUGUUGACAGAGGUGGGUGGGAGACGGUGUGUGAUUGGCUACUAUACUGUUGACAGAGGUGGGUGGGGGACGGUGUGUGAUUGGCUACUAUACUGUUG
Long non-coding RNA from Oncorhynchus keta (chum salmon), 604 nucleotides. RefSeq lists it as uncharacterized. The transcript has 3 exons. The record is from RefSeq and is a predicted model, not a curated record. NCBI's taxonomy places the organism in Eukaryota, Metazoa, Chordata, Actinopteri, Salmoniformes, Salmonidae.